AGUGGCGAACGGGUGAGUAACACGUGAGUAACCUGCCCUUAACUCUGGGAUAAGCCUGGGAAACUGGGUCUAAUACCGGAUAUGACUCCUCAUCGCAUGGUGGGGGGUGGAAAGCUUUAUUGUGGUUUUGGAUGGACUCGCGGCCUAUCAGCUUGUUGGUGAGGUAAUGGCUCACCAAGGCGACGACGGGUAGCCGGCCUGAGAGGGUGACCGGCCACACUGGGACUGAGACACGGCCCAGACUCCUACGGGAGGCAGCAGUGGGGAAUAUUGCACAAUGGGCGCAAGCCUGAUGCAGCGACGCCGCGUGAGGGAUGACGGCCUUCGGGUUGUAAACCUCUUUCAGUAGGGAAGAAGCGAAAGUGACGGUACCUGCAGAAGAAGCGCCGGCUAACUACGUGCCAGCAGCCGCGGUAAUACGUAGGGCGCAAGCGUUAUCCGGAAUUAUUGGGCGUAAAGAGCUCGUAGGCGGUUUGUCGCGUCUGCCGUGAAAGUCCGGGGCUCAACUCCGGAUCUGCGGUGGGUACGGGCAGACUAGAGUGAUGUAGGGGAGACUGGAAUUCCUGGUGUAGCGGUGAAAUGCGCAGAUAUCAGGAGGAACACCGAUGGCGAAGGCAGGUCUCUGGGCAUUAACUGACGCUGAGGAGCGA
Molecule: ribosomal RNA, 650 nt
Filed under: Arthrobacter oryzae
Lineage: Bacteria; Bacillati; Actinomycetota; Actinomycetes; Micrococcales; Micrococcaceae
Description: bacterial SSU rRNA
Rfam family: Bacterial small subunit ribosomal RNA
Source: RNAcentral